CUAAAAAACUAACGUCUCAGUUCAGAUUGCAGGCUGCAACUCGCCUGCAUGAAGUCGGAAUUGCUGUAAUCGCAGAUCAGCAUGCUGCGGUGAACACGUCCCCGGGCCUUGUACACACCGCCCGUCACACCAUGGGAGUCGGUAACACCCGAAGUCGGUAGCCUAACCGUAAGGAGGGCGCCGCCGAAGGUGGGAUUGAUGACUGGGGUGAAGUCGUAACAAGGUAUC
Molecule: ribosomal RNA, 228 nt
Filed under: uncultured bacterium
Lineage: Bacteria
Description: partial 16S ribosomal RNA
Rfam family: Bacterial small subunit ribosomal RNA
Source: RNAcentral